This 460-nucleotide ribosomal RNA is filed under the name uncultured bacterium. RNAcentral describes it as "partial 16S ribosomal RNA". It matches the Rfam family "Bacterial small subunit ribosomal RNA", at positions 338 to 795 of the family's 1533-position model. The record is from RNAcentral.
CCUACGGGUGGCAGCAGUGAGGAAUAUUGGUCAAUGGGCGAGAGCCUGAACCAGCCAAGUCGCGUGAAGGAUGACUGCCCUAUGGGUUGUAAACCUCUUUUAUCAGGGAAUAAAACGAGGCACGUGUGCCUUUUUGCGUGUACCUGAAGAAUAAGGAUCGGCUAACUCCGUGCCAGCAGCCGCGGUAAUACGGAGGAUCCGAGCGUUAUCCGGAUUUAUUGGGUUUAAAGGGUGCGUAGAUGGGUUGUUAAGUCAGUGGUGAAAGUGUGCGGCUCAACCGUAAAAUUGCAAUUGAUACUGGCAGUCUUGAGUACAGUUGAGGUAGGCGGAAUUCGUGGUGUAGCGGUGAAAUGCUUAGAUAUCACGAAGAACCCCGAUUGCGAAGGCAGCUUACUAAACUGUGACUGACAUUGAUGCUCGAAAGUGUGGGUAUCAAACAGGAUUAGAUACCCUUGUAGUC